GGGGGGGGGUGCAGGGUGGGGAGUGGGAGAUAUGUAGGUAGGUUUGUGAUUACAUCUUUGUGGGAAUCAUCCCAGAGAAGUUCUAUGGGAUGGGCAGGAAUCCUGAGUUCUGUCUUGGCUAAUGGAUGCCUGAUGGCAGGCUGGCGAUGACAAGAGGGAACAUUGCUGCCAGACACCACAGAAAAAUCGCAGCGUGCACAGGGCUGCACAUAUUCAGAACUGCUGAGAGAAAAUGAAAUACACCAUCUCGUCUAACCUUCUGUUAUAUUUUGUAACCACCAAUUUGACAUUUUAAUUAUGAAGAUAAGAACCCAAGCAAGUAAAUCAUAGAAUUCUCCAAGACAUGAAAGAUGGCAGGUGGGAGUAAUCUCCAGUCAGCCAGAGAGAAGUUGCCUGAGUGAAGUGGGUUGGUAUAGGACAGGAAAGAGCUAAGGGGACCUGGUGCAUUGUAGAGGUUUGCCCUGCUCAAUGACAUUUACAUUUACAUCAUGUUUCAGCUGAAAAAUAAACCUUUAUCUGGGGUACCAA
Molecule: long non-coding RNA, 528 nt
Organism: Peromyscus eremicus (cactus mouse)
Lineage: Eukaryota; Metazoa; Chordata; Mammalia; Rodentia; Cricetidae
Exons: 2
Source: RefSeq, a predicted model, not a curated record